Molecule: long non-coding RNA, 182 nt
Organism: Bombina bombina (fire-bellied toad)
Lineage: Eukaryota; Metazoa; Chordata; Amphibia; Anura; Bombinatoridae
Exons: 2
Source: RefSeq, a predicted model, not a curated record
AAUAAUUGAAAAUUCAACCCAAACUGGAAUUUCUAACAGGACAGAGCUAAUAGAGAGAUACUUCACCUGAAACCCGACAACUUUCCAUAAAUCCAAGAUUACGAAAGUAUUAUCGUCAAUAUUUUAUUUUUUUUCUUUACUUUUUGAAUCUCUUAAAUACAAUUUUGGAUUUAUUCAUUAAA